Long non-coding RNA from Herpailurus yagouaroundi (jaguarundi), 1912 nucleotides. RefSeq lists it as uncharacterized. The record is from RefSeq and is a predicted model, not a curated record. Lineage: Eukaryota; Metazoa; Chordata; Mammalia; Carnivora; Felidae. The transcript has 3 exons.
UCCUUAAAGGGAAAACACCAUUAGCUGCGUAUCCGCCAGGAAUCGAAGAACUCCGAGAUCCAUUACAGUUUAUACCUCACAAAGAGUGUCAACUUACUCAGUUUUAGGAAGGCAAAAACUCGACAAGGUGCUCGGUCUGCCCUGACGUGUCCCUGUGAGCACAAGGUCCUACCUGGUCAAGCAGCCCCAUGAGGAGCACGGGCAGGCUGGAGUAGAGCACGUUGUAGAGCGUGAUGAACCAGUCCUCGUACGCCGUCUGUGGGGAGGUUAGAGUCUGCGUCACAAACCAAGACCUGCUGCUGGCCUAGUCAAUGCACAUGCAUUCUUUCUCAACUGGGAGGCCCCCAGCAUGCGUGGGGGCUUCUGCCAGCGUAAACCCCACUCCUCUGCAUUUGCAGAAGGUGUGAGUUGGGUUCAACGGAAUGGGCAGAAUCCACACUCCGCAGAACAGACCUUCCUUCUAAAAUGAAUGGGAGAACAUACACCAAAACAUUUUUUGGGAAGGGAGUCCGUCCAUUCUAUGUGAAGAAUGCUGGAAAAUAUGUUGGUGCCCAUCCUUUCUGUAUCCCUUUGUUAACAAAUUCGGAAUACAUAAACCCACAGACCGGCCCAAGAAGCACAUAAGAGUACCCAUUGAAGAAGGAGUACCAGAAAUGAACCAAUGUAAAUGCGAAGUUUUUGUAAAAGAAAUAUCGAAGGAACUUGCACAUCCUUAUGUAAGACCACCGGCCAUGUACCAACAGCAGUCUCUGCAAGUAUCUGAACUGGGCAAAGGAGUAGUCACUUGACAUGACAGCUUGCAUGCCUUCUUGUCCACUUAUCCCAACACCAAUGUGGGCAGCUGUGGGGCGGAGGGAGAAGAUAUGUGAAUCAUAAGCUAAUUUUAAAGCAAAACAUGGAGAUGAUAAAAAUGUUUCCACAGCAAAACAAAGAAACAGACAUUCUUGGAGCAAUGAAAACUCUUGCUCACCAGCCCCGCCCCAGCUUCUGAACUCAACUUUAUGUCAGAGAUACAAGUGGCUAAAAAAAGCACAAGGCAAGGGCUCUGAGGAGUAUUUGUGGAAGGAUCUCAGGUGGGUGGUAAAUUCCAUUUGGGUUUUCUGCCCAGCUCAUAAGCCAUCCUUCCCACCCACGGAGGGAACCCAAGGAAUCCAUGCAUAUUGUGUGUCCCUGCCUCCCUGGCCACAGCUGAGUCAGCUCUGGGCUGGUAGGUCAUCGGUAGCAUAUACAGAUUGGCUCUCCGAACCUUCAUGUCACCCUUGUUCUAUUGGAAAGGUGGGAAAGCAAAUAAAAACCUAACACCGCUCUGACUUCCUCGCAGCAAGAUUCUAUUUGUGAACUGGGUUCCAUCGUUGAGGGCCACCUGGAGCCCAGCAGCCCUUCCCUUUGUGGCAUUUCUGCAGUAGAGUUCAUAUCCUCUCUCCAGCUGCCUGGAGGUUGACGGACCAAAGUUUUUCAGCUGAAAAGCCCUUCACAGAAGCCUCAAAGUUAGAAGCUCCUCUGGUGCGUGACUAAGACAUUCGAAGCUCAGCCUGGCACCUGCUGCUUCAGUCUAUCCAGCGCUUUUGUGAGCACUUAGUCCCUUACAUUAAUCACUUCCUGCUUAAAGUACCCAGGGGGGUCUGUUUCUUAUACUAUCCUUGGCACAGAACCCAAGCUGGACCAAUCCGUGUCUCUUUCACAUUUUGGAACUAAGAUUUGGGUUUGUGUUUGUCAUUUUAACUUCUAAAUUCUUGAGUUGUGGGACAGAUAUAUUUAUUUCCAAGGGGUUCUGAGAGGCAGAAGUACAGUGGUCUAGAAGGAGGAUUGAACAGAAGCUGGGUUCCUGGUUCCAGCAUCUUCCUGAGGUCUGGCUUUUUGGGAGGCAUGAAACAUCUUUAGAUCUUUUAAAAUAAAUUUCUUUUUGUCUUAA